This 113-nucleotide ribosomal RNA is filed under the name Amblyomma sp. DWEZA-1. RNAcentral's name for it is "partial 12S ribosomal RNA". Lineage: Eukaryota; Metazoa; Arthropoda; Arachnida; Ixodida; Ixodidae. The record is from RNAcentral.
UUAAUGGAUAAAACACCUAAAUCUUACUUAAAUUUGUCAAAUCAACUUGUAUACCACUAUUUAAACAAUUAUUUACUCUUAUUGUUAAUAUUGAAAAACCAAUUAAUGAAUUU